This 1349-nucleotide long non-coding RNA is filed under the name Homo sapiens (human). RNAcentral describes it as "HSALNT0136938". The record is from RNAcentral. Lineage: Eukaryota; Metazoa; Chordata; Mammalia; Primates; Hominidae.
CACGCCCAGCUAAUUUUUGUAUUUUUAGUAGAGAUGGGGUUUCACCAUAUUGGCUAAGAUAGUCUCGAACUCCUGACCUCGUGAUCUGCCCACCUCGGCCUCCCAAAGUGCUGGAAUUACAGGCGUGACCCACCACACCCUGCAAACAUCAGCCAUUUUAUAGUUCUCUCCAUUCUGUUCUCUCCUUCUGCAACUUCUAUUAAAGCCUGUAUUGGACCUUUUAAAGCCUGUAUUGGACCUUUUUACUUUAUUUUUGUAGUCUCCUACCCUCCCUUGUUUGCUGCGCUUCCUUGAGUAAAUUCCUCAGAACUACCUUUAAAAUCUGUUGUCUCUAAUAUAGUUUAACUCAUCCAUUGAAUCUUUUUUCUUUUUCCUUUUUUUUACAGAGUCUCAUUUGGUUGCCCAGGCUGGAGUGCAGUGGCACAAUCUUGGCUUACUGCAACCUCUGCCCCCAGGAUUCAUGUGAUUCUCCUGCCUCAGCCUCCUGAGUAGCUGAGAUUACCAGCGCAUGCCACCACGCCCAGCUAAUUUUUGUAUUUUUAGUAGAGAUGGGGUUUCACCAUAUUGGCCAAGAUAGUCUCGAACUCCUGACCUCAUGAUCUGCCCACCUCGGUCUCCUAAAGUGCUGGGAUUACAGGCGUGAGCCACCGCACCUGGCCUUUGAAUCGUGUUUAUAGGUCACAGGGUGCCUGAGAGUAAAGCCAGUCCAGGGAGAUUCUUGACGUUAAUAUUUAACUUCGUGUGUUGACAGACCACAUAAAUGGUAUAUACCUUGAAAAUCAAAAUGCACAUGAACACAAACUCCUGGUGAAAAAGUUUUGAGGGAUGAUUUCAUCUCUCCCAGUCCACAGCCCAGACCAAAACAGGCAAGUUUCCCUCCACUUCCCUAUGCUGGGGGGUGACGGGGUGGAAGGGGCCAGAUUUUUUUUUUUCUAGUUCACCUAUGUGCACUGCCCUUAAAAGGGUCCUGGCUUGGCUGGGCAUGGUGGCUGUUUGUAAUCCCAGCACUUUGGGAAGCUGCGGUGAGAUCACUUGAGCCAAGGAGUUCGAGACCAUCCUGGGCAACAUAGCAAGACCCCAUCUCUACAAAAACAUUUUAAAAUAAAAAAAAUAAGGGUGAAUUACUUACAUACCUUAUCUCAUCUUAAGCCCCAAAGUUAACUGUGUCAUGCGGGUUUUUAGUUUCCUUUUAGUUCUCUCUGGCCACUGGAGAUUGUACUUUAUGGUGAGCUGAUUUGUAUCAUAGUUCUACUCAGCAUUUCCAUGUGUCCUGUAUUAUAUGAAAUACACAUCAUUUGUGUGUUUCAAAGCAUUUAAAUUACCCCACUGGGGCACAGAGCAAGGUUAUA